AGUGAACGCUGGCGGCGUGCCUAAUACAUGCAAGUCGAACGGAGAUUAAGUAGCUUGCUAUUUAAUCUUAGUGGCGCACGGGUGAGUAAUAUAUAGCUAACUUGCCCAUUACUAAGGGACAACAGUUGGAAACGACUGCUAAUACCUUAUACUCCGUAUCUAUAUAAGUAGAUACGGGAAAGUUUUUCGGUAAUGGAUAGGGCUAUAUCGUAUCAGCUAGUUGGUAAGGUAAUGGCUUACCAAGGCUAUGACGCGUAACUGGUCUGAGAGGAUGAUCAGUCACGCUGGAACUGAGACACGGUCCAGACUCCUGCGGGAGGCAGCAGUAGGGAAUAUUGCUCAAUGGGGGCAACCCUGAAGCAGCAACGCCGCGUGGAGGAUGCCACUUUUCGGAGCGUAAACUCCUUUUCUUGGGAAAGAAUUAUGACGGUACCCAAGGAAUAAGCACCGGCUAACUCCGUG
Molecule: ribosomal RNA, 462 nt
Filed under: uncultured bacterium
Lineage: Bacteria
Description: partial 16S ribosomal RNA
Rfam family: Bacterial small subunit ribosomal RNA
Source: RNAcentral